GCUUGCUGACAUUGAUGGCGACCGGCGGAUGGGUGAGUAACACGUAUCCGAACCUGGCAUAAUACAAUCGGAUAGGCUUUCGAAAGAAAGAUUAAUACGGUAUGUUACAUAUUAGGCGCAUGUCAAAUAUGUCAAAGAGUCAUCGGUAUAUGAUGGGGAUGCGUUCCAUUAGGCAGUCGGCGGGGUAACGGCCCACCGAACCGACGAUGGAUAGGGGUUCUGAGAGGAAGGUCCCCCACAUUCGGAACUGAGACACGGUCCAAACUCCUACGGGAGGCAGCAGUGAGGAAUAUUGGUCAAUGGGCGCAAGCCUGAACCAGCCAAGUAGCGUGAAGGAUGACGGUCCUAUGGGUUGUAAACUUCUUUUGUAUGGGAGUAAAGUCCCCCACGAGUUGGGUGUUUGCGAGUACCAUACGAAUAAGCAUCGGCUAACUCCGUGCCAGCAGCCGCGGUAAUACGGAGGAUGCGAGCGUUAUCCGGAUUUAUUGGGUUUAAAGGGAGCGUAGGCGGGUCGAUAAGUCAGUUGUGAAAAUCCGGUGCUUAACAUCGGACGUGCAGUUGAAACUGUCGGUCUUGAGUGAGGCAGAGGCAUGCGGAAUUCAUGGUGUAGCGGUGAAAUGCAUAGAUAUCAUGAAGAACUCCGAUUGCGAAAGCAGCGUGCUGGACCUUAACUGACGCUGAUGCUCGAAAGUGCGGGUAUCAAACAGGAUUAGAUACCCUGGUAGUCCGCACAGUAAACGAUGAACACUCGCUGUUAGCGAUACACGGUUAGCGGCCAAGCGAAAGCGUUAAGUGUUCCACCUGGGGAGUACGCCGGCAACGGUGAAACUCAAAGGAAUUGACGGGGGCCCGCACAAGCGGAGGAACAUGUGGUUUAAUUCGAUGAUACGCGAGGAACCUUACCCGGGCUUGAAUUGCAUGCGGAUGGUGGGGAAACCCGUCAGCUUCGUUCGGCCAGCGCAUGUGAAGGUGCUGCAUGGUUGUCGUCAGCUCGUGCCGUGAGGUGUCGGCUUAAGUGCCAUAACGAGCGCAACCCUCAUAUUCAGUUACUAUCAGGUAGUGCUGAGGACUCUGAAUAGACUGCCGUCGUAAGAUGUGAGGAAGGUGGGGAUGACGUCAAAUCAGCACGGCCCUUACGUCCGGGGCUACACACGUGUUACAAUGGCCGUUACAGAGGGCAGCCACCCGGCGACGGGGCGCCAAUCCUCAAAGUCGGUCGUAGUUCGGACUGGAGUCUGCAACCCGACUCCACGAAGCUGGAUUCGCUAGUAAUCGCGCAUCAGCCAUGGCGCGGUGAAUACGUUCCCGGGCCUUGUACACACCGCCCGUCAAGCCAUGAAAGCCGGGGGUACCUAAA
This 1357-nucleotide ribosomal RNA is filed under the name uncultured bacterium. Its description in RNAcentral is "bacterial SSU rRNA". It matches the Rfam family "Bacterial small subunit ribosomal RNA", at positions 74 to 1425 of the family's 1533-position model. The record is from RNAcentral.